This is a long non-coding RNA of Patella vulgata (common limpet), 290 nucleotides long. RefSeq lists it as uncharacterized. The record is from RefSeq and is a predicted model, not a curated record. NCBI's taxonomy places the organism in Eukaryota, Metazoa, Mollusca, Gastropoda, Patellidae. The transcript has 2 exons.
UGUUCGACGUAAUUUCAACGAAUGUAAGAGACAACAAAAUGUUAUCUGCGAACAGCAGGUGUCCGGAGCCCCUCUUGAUUCCUGUCUGCUAUGCAGCCUUACGUCUUUUCCAAGCCCCAUUUAUGUUGCCGUUAUUAAUUGAUGGCUUGGACCGAUGCAGAAAUUAGAAAUUGGGGAAAUGUUGUGAUCGGUUUGUAAAGAAGGACGACCCUUCCAUCAUCUGCCAAGAAAAGAAAAAAACGUGUCCUGGUGAAAACUAGUAACGUUGUCAAUAAAAUAAUUAUUUUGAC